Long non-coding RNA from Pomacea canaliculata, 2253 nucleotides. RefSeq lists it as uncharacterized. Lineage: Eukaryota; Metazoa; Mollusca; Gastropoda; Architaenioglossa; Ampullariidae. The transcript has 3 exons. The record is from RefSeq and is a predicted model, not a curated record.
UAAUCUGUUGGUGACAGAGAAAUUACAAGUAAGCUUUACUAAUGAUAAGUUAAAUGUUUGUUGUGUUUAAUGUCAAGGAAGGCGUGACGGAAGUAAUGUCAAUAUUGAGCUGGUAACUCGACAAGAGAGGAUGGAGACACAAGGCAUUACCGCCCCAGGAAGACGGAUUAUCUCCCGCUUACUUUUCCAGCACAUCUGAGCAGACGAUGUGGAAGGGCCUGGUGAUGUGCCCUUGAUUCUCCGCAUGAUGGCCGCUAAUCACGUCUGCCUCCCAACUCGUCAUCGAUCCAAGACCCGGUCCUGGCGGCCUGCACAUAGGGCCCACCCCGUCCUGCGCUCCACCCGCCUCUCGCUUGACAAGAUCCGCAUUAAGAACGCUGACAGGGCUCUACAGACGACCCACUGUGCGCGGAAAGUGCUGAGCAGAUGAGCCACCAUCAGAGAAGGCAGACGAUUGACGAUGUUCAGGGAUAAAUAUAGCCUGUGACGUCAGCACGCUGAAUGACGUCAGUCUACUCAGCAGCCAACCCACAGGAUGAUGACAUCAGCAAGACAAGACCUGCAGUACGAGGUUAUCGAUUGGCUGGGACUCGUCAAUAAUCUUGGUGGUGGUGUGGAGGGGCAUCUGUCGCCUGGUGUGACGAGAGAUGUUUUGUCUGUGAGCUCAUUAGUGCAUACAGCUUAUCUUUCUGCUCUCUCCAUUGUCGACAGCAACAACUGUUCCUGUAUCAACGUCGCCAGUGCAGACUUCCGGUCCAGUAAAUAUCAAGGAAGCAGUGUAGAGAGCUGAGUAUUCUCGUUACAGGAAUUCCCUCUCGACAAAGGACAAGGGGGUUGUGUGUGAAGGGAUAGGGGGGAGAGGCAGCAUGAUAAAGAGGACAGAUAUGUAAUGAAGCUAAUGAGGUGACGAGUGUCAGUGACUGUGCCAGUGACACUAUGCUGAUGGUGACGAGUGUCAGUGAGCGGUUUGUUUAGGUGAAGAGCGCGCCAGGCAAGAGCUUGCCUCCCCACCCCACUAACCCCCAUGUGAUGUAUCCAACAAACAGUUGGGGGGAACUUUAAGCAUAGCAUCCCCCCCUCUCUCCAACAGCUGAACAGCUCGCUCGCUUUAUCACAGGGGUCAAUCAAUAAAAACUGAAGAGUAUUACCAUGGGGGCGUCUGGACCAUCAAACAUGCAGAUUAGGGACCUGAUAGGCCGUCUGGCGUGUGAUCGGUUCAAGUGUUUAAAUAAUAGCCCUUGUUUCUCCUCGGGGGACGUAAAAUGGCGGCAAGAAGCGAAGUCGAUAACGCACCGCACGAUUCGCCAAGCAGCCCCGCCACGUACGGUGGGUGGUGGUGGUGAUGGUGGUGGUGGUGGUGGUAGGGGCACGGGGGCGCAUGGUGACCGAGCUAGAGGGGAAAGGGGCGAUGGGCACCAUGGGAACACAACAGCGAUCUUCACAGCUUCUGACGGCACAGGGUGUGUGUGAAGGGGGUGUGUAGGGCUAGGGAGGAGGGAGGAGCGGUACUUUAUUACAUUCAACGACUUGUGAGUGAAACAUUUACCUGAGGUAGGUGGGAGACGAGCCCCUCCUCCCUCCCAGCUUGACAGCCCCGCUAUUCAGUGUAGUCACAUCUCUCUGUAGUGCGUGUAUCCCUAUCGUGUAUUAACACGCAGUUUAUCAUGUGCGUCGGUGUGUUAGGUGGGAACACUCGCAGUUUAUCAGUCCUUUAGUGUUACUGAAUUCGUCUUUUGUGAACUGUUCCUGCUGUCUGUGUGACUGCUCGUCCGACAGGCUUUCACUGGAGUGACAGAGGAGGGCACAGAUGCUGCUCCAGGCCGCAUGCGCAGUCAGCUACUUCCCAGCAGGACGCCUCCAGCCUUGUUUAUUUUCAUCGCCCUGCUGCGCCACGAGAUUCCCUUGGCAUCUUCGCUCUCGUCUGAUACCAACACGAGAACAGCAUGCAAGGAGUUUGCCUACACAUGGCAGUCAUUUGUAUUUACAUGGGGCAUUCAGUUUAAUCUACUCCUGGUCGCCAUCUUGCUCUGUUACAAGUCGGUGCGAGGAGACGAGGGAGUAUCGAGUAUCUAAGUGGUGAAUUCCUUCUCAUCCGACCAGCGCUCUCACAAACACGGAGUUCACAGACAAGAGAGGAUGGGCAGAGAGGUCUUUUCGAAACUUUCCAUCAGCUGUCAUGUUUUUGGCGAAAGACAUCUUAUCUCAACUUGUCAAGUGCCAAGAUCGGGUCUCCAGCCAUAAAAGCGGGAAGAC